This 396-nucleotide ribosomal RNA is filed under the name uncultured bacterium. Its description in RNAcentral is "partial 16S ribosomal RNA". It matches the Rfam family "Bacterial small subunit ribosomal RNA", at positions 523 to 918 of the family's 1533-position model. The record is from RNAcentral.
AUACGUAGGGGGCGAGCGUUGUCCGGAAUGAUUGGGCGUAAAGGGCGCGUAGGCGGCCCGGUAAGUCUGGAGUGAAAGUCCUGUUUUUAAGAUGGGAAUUGCUUUGGAUACUGUCGGGCUUGAGUGCAGGAGAGGUAAGUGGAAUUCCCAGUGUAGCGGUGAACUGCGUAGAGAUCGGGAGGAACACCAGUGGCGAAGGCGGGUAACUGGACUGCAACUGACGCUGAGGCGCGAAAGUGUGGGGAGCAAACAGGAUUAGAUACCCUGGUAGUCCACACUGUAAACGAUGAUGCUAGGUGUAAGAGGUAUCGACCCCUUUUGUGCCGGAGUCAACACAAUAAGCAUUCCGCCUGGGGAGUACGGCCGCAAGGUUGAAACUCAAAUGAAUUGACGGGG